CCUACGGGUGGCAGCAGUGAGGAAUAUUGGUCAAUGGACGAGAGUCUGAACCAGCCAAGUAGCGUGAAGGAUGACUGCCCUAUGGGUUGUAAACUUCUUUUAUAUGGGAAUAACACAGGGUAUGCAUACCCUCUUGUAUGUACCAUAUGAAUAAGGAUCGGCUAAUUCCGUGCCAGCAGCCGCGGUAAUACGGAGGAUCCGAGCGUUAUCCGGAUUUAUUGGGUUUAAAGGGUGCGUAGGCGGAUUUUUAAGCCUGCGGUAAAAUGUCCGGGCUCAACCCGGGCCGGCCGUUGAAACUGGGGAUCUUGAGUGGGCGAGAAGUAUGCGGAAUGCGUGGUGUAGCGGUGAAAUGCAAAGAUAUGAGGAGGAACAUCGGUGGCGUAAGCGCUUUACUGGGCCGUAAUUGACGCUGAGGAACGAAAGCCAGGGUAGCAAAUGGGAUUAGAUACCCGUGUAGUC
Molecule: ribosomal RNA, 459 nt
Filed under: uncultured bacterium
Lineage: Bacteria
Description: partial 16S ribosomal RNA
Rfam family: Bacterial small subunit ribosomal RNA
Source: RNAcentral